GGCCCCGUAGCUCAGCAGGAUAGAGCGGCAGAUUCCUAAUCUGUAGGUCGGGGGUUCGAAUCCCUCCGGGGUCGCCA
This 77-nucleotide transfer RNA is filed under the name Rhodospirillaceae bacterium. RNAcentral's name for it is "tRNA-Arg". It matches the Rfam family "tRNA". Rfam says of the family: Transfer RNA (tRNA) molecules are approximately 80 nucleotides in length. The record is from RNAcentral. Lineage: Bacteria; Pseudomonadati; Pseudomonadota; Alphaproteobacteria; Rhodospirillales; Rhodospirillaceae.